GGACGGGCCGCCCGCCAAGGGGAAGGUGGGGAAGGGGCGCGGCUGCCCCGCCGAGCUGCAGCUCGCCCAGCCCUGAGCCCCGGGUUCGCUCCGGCCCGAUGACGGAUGGGGAGCCGAGCCGACCGAGUGCCCGGACACGCAGAGCGCUCCGAAGCUGCCCCGCAGCCACUGGACGCGCGUCCCGAGCAGACCGCGCCGCCCAGCCCCGCCUUCGCACUCCUCCAGCCCUUCGGGCCAAGAAGCCGGCCCGCCCGAGUACUGCCCGGAGCCCCAACUGCCCUCUGCGGCGACCUGGUGUAGCCCCAGGGGUCGGGCUGCUCCAGUUAGAUCGCACACACGUUCCAGAGUUUAAAAGAGCUCACAUCUUACAGGAUCAACCAAGGGUGAUGGUAGAACAUGAAGACUUCUUAUCUAUUUGGUUAGGCUCUUCAAAGCAGCAAGGAAAGAGUGCAUGCACCUGGAUCCUCCUCGCCAAUAAGGAAACCCAGAGUGCCAUCUCUUUAAGUGAGACACGUAUCAGAACAUGGCAUCGACCCCAGAAAUUGCACAGAGCCAGAGUGUCCCCAGCAUCAACACCUUUCAGGAGAGAAACUGAAUUCAUUUGCCAACAACCAACUCCAUCGGACAGUGCCAGAAAGUACGGGACUGCUUGCGUUCAUUUCUUCGAGAUGAGUCAGGGUUGCAGGGUGUCGAUGAUUAGAUGUAAAUGUUAAACCAAAAGCCCAUGGUGGUCACUUUGGCUUUCCUUCUGUGGAAAUCCAGCUUCUCACUUGGGGGGAAGGGGUUGUGUUACAUGUGAUAUUGGCAUGUUGCUCUGGUUUCCUGAAGCCCCCAUUUUUUGGGUCUCUCUGUGCCCUUCCCAUAUACACAAACACAUUUUCAGGUAAAACAUCUGGAAGGUCCUAUUUCAAAAGAGCAUGGCCAAGAAAAUCUUUCCAUUUGUAAAAAUAAUGUAAACCCUUUAGACUGUAAUGUCCUGCAGAGCAGGGGAAUUAUACAACAGCAAUAAAAUUGUCAGCUUUCAAUAAUCAGCCACAUUUUUUAUGGUAUUUUGUCACUGGGAAAGCACUUUUUAAUAAUCA
This 1082-nucleotide long non-coding RNA is filed under the name Cricetulus griseus (Chinese hamster). RNAcentral describes it as "lncRNA (ENSCGRG00015037442.1)". The record is from RNAcentral. Lineage: Eukaryota; Metazoa; Chordata; Mammalia; Rodentia; Cricetidae.